UACGGAGGGUGCAAGCGUUACUCGGAAUCACUGGGCGUAAAGAGCGUGUAGGCGGGUAUAUAAGUCAGAAGUGAAAUCCUAUAGCUUAACUAUAGAACUGCUUUUGAAACUGUAUACCUAGAAUGUGGGAGAGGUAGAUGGAAUUUCUGGUGUAGGGGUAAAAUCCGUAGAGAUCAGAAGGAAUACCGAUUGCGAAGGCGAUCUACUGGAACAUUAUUGACGCUGAGACGCGAAAGCGUGGGGAGCAAACAGGAUUAGAUACCCUGGUAGUCCACGCCCUAAACGAUGUACACUAGUUGUUGUGAGGCUCGACCUUGCAGUAAUGCAGUUAACACAUUAAGUGUACCGCCUGGGGAGUACGGUCGCAAGAUUAAAACUCAAAGGAAUAGGCGGGGACCCGCACAAGCGGUGGAGCAUGUGGUUUAAUUCGACGAUACACGAAGAACCUUACCUGGACUUGACAUAGUAAGAACUUUCUAGAGAUAGAUUGGUGUCUGCUUGCAGAAACUUAUAUACAGGUGCUGCACGGCUGUCGUCAGCUCGUGUCGUGAGAUGUUGGGUUAAGUCCCGCAACGAGCGCAACCCUCGUCAUUAGUUGCUAACAGUUCGGCUGAGAACUCUAAUGAGACUGCCUACGCAAGUAGGAGGAAGGUGAGGACGACGUCAAGUCAUCAUGGCCCUUACGUCCAGGGCUACACACGUGCUACAAUGGGGUAUACAAAGGGCAGCAAUACGGUGACGUGGAGCAAAUCUCAAAAAUAUCUCCCAGUUCGGAUUGUAGUCUGCAACUCGACUACAUGAAGUUGGAAUCGCUAGUAAUCGUAGAUCAGCUAUGCUACGGUGAAUACGUUCCCGGGUC
Molecule: ribosomal RNA, 859 nt
Filed under: uncultured bacterium
Lineage: Bacteria
Description: SSU rRNA
Rfam family: Bacterial small subunit ribosomal RNA
Source: RNAcentral